RNAcentral lists this ribosomal RNA (468 nucleotides) under uncultured bacterium. RNAcentral's name for it is "partial 16S ribosomal RNA". It matches the Rfam family "Bacterial small subunit ribosomal RNA", at positions 28 to 507 of the family's 1533-position model. The record is from RNAcentral.
GACGAACGCUGGCGGCGUGCUUAACACAUGCAAGUCGAACGGAAAGGCCCUGCUUUUGUGGGGUGCUCGAGUGGCGAACGGGUGAGUAACACGUGAGUAGCCUGCCCUUGACUUUGGGAUAACUUCAGGAAACUGGGGCUAAUACCGGAUAGGAGCUCCUGCUGCAUGGUGGGGGUUGGAAAGUUUCGGCGGUUGGGGAUGGACUCGCGGCUUAUCAGCUUGUUGAUGGGGUAGUGGCUUACCAAGGCUUUGACGGGUAGCCGGCCUGAGAGGGUGACCGGCCACAUUGGGACUGAGAUACGGCCCAGACUCCUACGGGAGGCAGCAGGGGGGAAUAUUGCACAAUGGGCGGAAGCCUGAUGCAGCAACGCCGCGUGCGGGAUGACGGCCUUCGGGUUGUAAACCGCUUUCGCCUGUGACGAAGCGUGAGUGACGGUAAUGGGUAAAGAAGCACCGGCUAACUACGUG